AUGGCCGUUAGCCCCGUGGCCCCAUCUGUCUUCCCCCUGACUUCCUGCACCGGCGAAGGCACCACGUCCCAGGUCACCUUCGGCUGCCUGGCCAAAGGAUACUUCCCCGAGCCGGUCACCAUGACAUGGAGCCCAAACGUCGGCUCCUCGGUUGUGAAGACCUAUCCCUCCAUGCUGCAAUCUUCUGGCAACCUCUACUCCCUCAGCAGCCAAGUCACCGUCCCGGCCAGCAGCUGGGAGUCUGACACCUAUACAUGCACCGUACAGCACCAGCCCACCAGCUCCAGCAUCUCCACGGAAAUCCCAAAGCCCAUCCCCAAUGAUCCCAAGGUGAAAGUCCUCUACUCCUGCAACACCCAGCAAGACGCUGUUGAGCUGGUGUGCUUCAUCUCUGGCUUCUACCCCGACAAUUUUACGGUGGAAUGGCUGGUGGGCGGCAUGCCCGGGAUACUAAAGGGUGACACUGAGCCUUUCAAGAAGGACGCUGACGGCCGCACCUUCAGCACCCGCAGCAAUGCCAAAGUCUCCAAGAGCAAGUGGCUGGAGGGCGAGAAGUACACCUGCCUGGUGUCCCAGCCGGGCAGUGCCACCACAAAUCAGGCCCAGGCCAGCAAGUGCGAAGAAGAAAUGACGUCUCCCAGCAACAUCCAGGUCUUCCUGGUGCCCCCAUCUCCCGCCGCCCUGUACGUGGCCCAGACCCCCAUGCUCACCUGCCUCGUGGUCAACCUGCCUAGCAACUCCAGCCUCCAGGUGGUCUGGUCCCCUGAGAAGACAGAGUCCAUUAGCCCUGAUCACCCGGACCUCGCUAAGCAGUUGAACGGCACCUUCACCGCCUCCAGCUCCAUACCCAUCCUCACCAGCGACUGGGAAGCCGGAGAGACCUUCACCUGCAAAGUGGAGCACUCAGAGCUGUCCUCGCCCCUCAUCAAAUCCAUCUCCAAGAAGUCAGGUAGGAGGAGAGCAGGGUCCCUAAGGGGAGAGGCUCCCCUAUCCCAGUCCCCAGCAGGGAGGAAUGCUCCUUAA
Molecule: non-coding RNA, 1023 nt
Organism: Chrysemys picta bellii (western painted turtle)
Lineage: Eukaryota; Metazoa; Chordata; Testudines; Emydidae
Source: the annotation of a RefSeq genome assembly